This 2899-nucleotide ribosomal RNA is filed under the name Klebsiella pneumoniae subsp. pneumoniae. RNAcentral describes it as "23S ribosomal RNA". It matches the Rfam family "Bacterial large subunit ribosomal RNA". The record is from RNAcentral. Lineage: Bacteria; Pseudomonadati; Pseudomonadota; Gammaproteobacteria; Enterobacterales; Enterobacteriaceae.
UUAAGCGACUAAGCGUACACGGUGGAUGCCCUGGCAGUCAGAGGCGAUGAAGGACGUGCUAAUCUGCGAAAAGCGUCGGUAAGGUGAUAUGAACCGUUAUAGCCGGCGAUGUCCGAAUGGGGAAACCCAGUGCAAUUCGUUGCACUAUCGUUAACUGAAUACAUAGGUUAACGAGGCGAACCGGGGGAACUGAAACAUCUAAGUACCCCGAGGAAAAGAAAUCAACCGAGAUUCCCCCAGUAGCGGCGAGCGAACGGGGAGCAGCCCAGAGUCUGAAUCAGCUUGUGUGUUAGUGGAACGGUCUGGAAAGUCCGACGGUACAGGGUGAUAGUCCCGUACACCAAAAUGCACAGGCUGUGAACUCGAAGAGUAGGGCGGGACACGUGGUAUCCUGUCUGAAUAUGGGGGGACCAUCCUCCAAGGCUAAAUACUCCUGACUGACCGAUAGUGAACCAGUACCGUGAGGGAAAGGCGAAAAGAACCCCGGCGAGGGGAGUGAAAAAGAACCUGAAACCGUGUACGUACAAGCAGUGGGAGCACCUUCGGGUGUGACUGCGUACCUUUUGUAUAAUGGGUCAGCGACUUAUAUUCUGUAGCAAGGUUAACCGUAUAGGGGAGCCGCAGGGAAACCGAGUCUUAACUGGGCGUUAAGUUGCAGGGUAUAGACCCGAAACCCGGUGAUCUAGCCAUGGGCAGGUUGAAGGUUGGGUAACACUAACUGGAGGACCGAACCGACUAAUGUUGAAAAAUUAGCGGAUGACUUGUGGCUGGGGGUGAAAGGCCAAUCAAACCGGGAGAUAGCUGGUUCUCCCCGAAAGCUAUUUAGGUAGCGCCUCGUGAACUCAUCUUCGGGGGUAGAGCACUGUUUCGGCUAGGGGGUCAUCCCGACUUACCAACCCGAUGCAAACUACGAAUACCGAAGAAUGUUAUCACGGGAGACACACGGCGGGUGCUAACGUCCGUCGUGAAGAGGGAAACAACCCAGACCGCCAGCUAAGGUCCCAAAGUCAUGGUUAAGUGGGAAACGAUGUGGGAAGGCACAGACAGCCAGGAUGUUGGCUUAGAAGCAGCCAUCAUUUAAAGAAAGCGUAAUAGCUCACUGGUCGAGUCGGCCUGCGCGGAAGAUGUAACGGGGCUAAACCAUGCACCGAAGCUGCGGCAGCGACACUAUGUGUUGUUGGGUAGGGGAGCGUUCUGUAAGCCUGCGAAGGUGACCUGUGAGGGUUGCUGGAGGUAUCAGAAGUGCGAAUGCUGACAUAAGUAACGAUAAAGCGGGUGAAAAGCCCGCUCGCCGGAAGACCAAGGGUUCCUGUCCAACGUUAAUCGGGGCAGGGUGAGUCGACCCCUAAGGCGAGGCCGAAAGGCGUAGUCGAUGGGAAACAGGUUAAUAUUCCUGUACUUGGUGUUACUGCGAAGGGGGGACGGAGAAGGCUAUGUUAGCCGGGCGACGGUUGUCCCGGUUUAAGCAUGUAGGCUGGUUAUCCAGGCAAAUCCGGAUAAUCAAGGCUGAGGUGUGAUGACGAGGCACUACGGUGCUGAAGUAACAAAUGCCCUGCUUCCAGGAAAAGCCUCUAAGCAUCAGGUAACAUUAAAUCGUACCCCAAACCGACACAGGUGGUCAGGUAGAGAAUACCAAGGCGCUUGAGAGAACUCGGGUGAAGGAACUAGGCAAAAUGGUGCCGUAACUUCGGGAGAAGGCACGCUGGUGUGUAGGUGAAGUCCCUGCGGAUGGAGCUGAGACCAGUCGAAGAUACCAGCUGGCUGCAACUGUUUAUUAAAAACACAGCACUGUGCAAACACGAAAGUGGACGUAUACGGUGUGACGCCUGCCCGGUGCCGGAAGGUUAAUUGAUGGGGUUAUCCGUAAGGAGAAGCUCUUGAUCGAAGCCCCGGUAAACGGCGGCCGUAACUAUAACGGUCCUAAGGUAGCGAAAUUCCUUGUCGGGUAAGUUCCGACCUGCACGAAUGGCGUAAUGAUGGCCAGGCUGUCUCCACCCGAGACUCAGUGAAAUUGAACUCGCUGUGAAGAUGCAGUGUACCCGCGGCAAGACGGAAAGACCCCGUGAACCUUUACUAUAGCUUGACACUGAACAUUGAGCCUUGAUGUGUAGGAUAGGUGGGAGGCUUUGAAGCGUGGACGCCAGUCUGCGUGGAGCCAACCUUGAAAUACCACCCUUUAAUGUUUGAUGUUCUAACGUUGGCCCCUUACCGGGGUUGCGGACAGUGUCUGGUGGGUAGUUUGACUGGGGCGGUCUCCUCCCAAAGCGUAACGGAGGAGCACGAAGGUUAGCUAAUCCUGGUCGGACAUCAGGAGGUUAGUGCAAUGGCAUAAGCUAGCUUGACUGCGAGCGUGACGGCGCGAGCAGGUGCGAAAGCAGGUCAUAGUGAUCCGGUGGUUCUGAAUGGAAGGGCCAUCGCUCAACGGAUAAAAGGUACUCCGGGGAUAACAGGCUGAUACCGCCCAAGAGUUCAUAUCGACGGCGGUGUUUGGCACCUCGAUGUCGGCUCAUCACAUCCUGGGGCUGAAGUAGGUCCCAAGGGUAUGGCUGUUCGCCAUUUAAAGUGGUACGCGAGCUGGGUUUAGAACGUCGUGAGACAGUUCGGUCCCUAUCUGCCGUGGGCGCUGGAGAAUUGAGGGGGGCUGCUCCUAGUACGAGAGGACCGGAGUGGACGCAUCACUGGUGUUCGGGUUGUCAUGCCAAUGGCACUGCCCGGUAGCUAAAUGCGGAAGAGAUAAGUGCUGAAAGCAUCUAAGCACGAAACUUGCCCCGAGAUGAGUUCUCCCUGAGACUUUAAGUCUCCUGAAGGAACGUUAAAGACGAUGACGUUGAUAGGCCGGGUGUGUAAGCGCAGCGAUGCGUUGAGCUAACCGGUACUAAUGAACCGUGAGGCUUAACCU